RNAcentral lists this ribosomal RNA (164 nucleotides) under uncultured bacterium. RNAcentral describes it as "partial 16S rRNA". It matches the Rfam family "Bacterial small subunit ribosomal RNA", at positions 355 to 511 of the family's 1533-position model. The record is from RNAcentral.
UAGGGAAUCUUCCACAAUGGACGGAAGUCUGAUGGAGCAACGCCGCGUGAGUGAAGAAGGGUUUCGGCUCGUAAAACUCUGUUGUUAAAGAAGAACAUAUCUGAGAGUAACUGUUCAGGUAUUGACGGUAUUUAACCAGAAAGCCACGGCUAACUACGUGCCNG